ACUGAAUUGUCCAGUUGUGAGUGUGAAUGGUUGUAUGUCUAUAAUGUAUUUGCCGUGCGACUGGCUGGCAACCAGUCAAGGGUCUAUCCUUGACUGGUUGCCAAUGGUCGGCCAAUGACCAAAAGGGCCAGACCAACUGAGCCACAGCUACCCAGUCAUGUGAAUGUAUCCGCAUAGCUUCACAUUUCCGUUUUUCUGUGAGGACUUGUUUGAGAAGCUUUCUUGUCUACGUGUCGAGAUUUCCAGGUCAUCGUCUCUGUCUGUCAUGUUGGUAGCCGACCGACUGUGUGGUCUAUUUUGUGUUGUGUGAUGCGACA
This is a long non-coding RNA of Hippocampus comes (tiger tail seahorse), 317 nucleotides long. RefSeq lists it as uncharacterized. The transcript is spliced from 2 exons. NCBI's taxonomy places the organism in Eukaryota, Metazoa, Chordata, Actinopteri, Syngnathiformes, Syngnathidae. The record is from RefSeq and is a predicted model, not a curated record.